AUUGAACGCUGGCGGCAGGCCUAACACAUGCAAGUCGAGCGGAUGAAGGGAGCUUGCUCCUGGCUUCAGCGGCGGACGGGUGGGUAAUGACUAGGAAUCUGCCUUGUAGUGGGGGAUAACGUCCGGAAACGGGCGCUAAUACCGCAUACGUCCUGAGGGAGAAAGUGGGGGAUCUUCGGACAUCACGCUAUCAGAUGAGCCUAGGUCGGAUUAGCUAGUUGGUGGGGUAAAGGCCUACCAAGGCGACGAUCCGUAACUGGUCUGAGAGGAUGAUCAGUCACACUGGAACUGAGACACGGUCCAGACUCCUACGGGAGGCAGCAGUGGGGAAUAUUGGACAAUGGGCGAAAGCCUGAUCCAGCCAUGCCGCGUGUGUGAAGAAGGUCUUCGGAUUGUAAAGCACUUUAAGUUGGGAGGAAGGGCAGUAAGUUAAUACCUUGCUGUUUUGACGGUACCAACAGAAUAAGCACCGGCUAACUUCGUG
This 484-nucleotide ribosomal RNA is filed under the name uncultured bacterium. RNAcentral describes it as "partial 16S ribosomal RNA". It matches the Rfam family "Bacterial small subunit ribosomal RNA", at positions 30 to 507 of the family's 1533-position model. The record is from RNAcentral.